GUCUAUUUGAAGAUUUAAAUAGUCAGGCCUGCUCACUGACUAAAUUUGUUUAAGAGCCGCGGUAUUCUGACCGUGCAAAGGUAGCAUAAUCAUUAGUUUUUUAAUUGAAAACUAGUAUGAAAGGUUAGACAAGAAAAAAGCUGUCUUAAUUAUAAUUCUUGAAUUUAACUUUUAAGUGAAAAGGCUUAAAUUAUUUAGAGGGACGAUAAGACCCUAUAAAGCUUUAUAUAAAUAUUAAAGUUGAUUAAAGUUAUAUUAAAGGUUAAUAAUGAAUAAUGUAUUUUGUUGGGGAGAUGUGAAUAUAAAUUUUAUAACUGUUUAUGAUAAUAAUCAUUUAUUAAUGGAUGAAUUUUAAAUGACCCUAUAUUAUAGAUUAAAAGGUUAAGUUACUUUAGGGAUAACAGCGUUAUUUYACUUGAGAGUUCUUAUCGAAAGUGAAGUUUGCGACCUCGAUGUUGAAUUAAAGUUUCUGUAUAAUGCAGCCGUUAUAUAAGAAGGUCUGUUCGACCUUUAAAUUUUUACAUGAUUUGAGUUCAGACCGGCGUAAG
RNAcentral lists this ribosomal RNA (548 nucleotides) under Tetralia cinctipes. Its description in RNAcentral is "partial large subunit ribosomal RNA". Lineage: Eukaryota; Metazoa; Arthropoda; Malacostraca; Decapoda; Tetraliidae. The record is from RNAcentral.